RNAcentral lists this ribosomal RNA (234 nucleotides) under uncultured bacterium. RNAcentral's name for it is "partial 16S ribosomal RNA". It matches the Rfam family "Bacterial small subunit ribosomal RNA", at positions 15 to 240 of the family's 1533-position model. The record is from RNAcentral.
GAUCAUGGCUCAGGAUGAACGCUAGCUACAGGCUUAACACAUGCAAGUCGAGGGGCAGCAUGGUCUUAGCUUGCUAAGGCCGAUGGCGACCGGCGCACGGGUGAGUAACGCGUAUCCAACCUGCCUUACACUCUUGGACAGCCUUCUGAAAGGGAGAUUAAUACAAGAUGUUAUCAUGGGUAAGCAUUUUCGCAUGAUUAAAGGUUUACCGGUGUAAGGUGGGGAUGCGUUCCA